CAUAAUACUAAAUAAGUCAUCCGUAUAAUCCUGAUAAUAAUGGUUCAGGAGUCUCUACUAGGAAACCGUAAUUUCCUUUCUAUGGAUGAAUCUGAGGAAACU
RNAcentral lists this non-coding RNA (102 nucleotides) under Clostridium carboxidivorans. RNAcentral's name for it is "Guanine sequence". It matches the Rfam family "Purine riboswitch aptamer". From Rfam's summary of the family: Riboswitches are metabolite binding domains within certain messenger RNAs that serve as precision sensors for their corresponding targets. Lineage: Bacteria; Bacillati; Bacillota; Clostridia; Eubacteriales; Clostridiaceae. RNAcentral also lists the same sequence under 1 other name. The record is from RNAcentral.